UUCUGAGAACCCAAGGAUUCCAGGUAGUUUUACUCAAGCUGCACUUGCAUCAGGUCUGCUUUCCCACCUUGGUUUUACGUCCUAGACACAUUUAUAAGCCUGAGUUCUGUCUUUCAUGUUUGCUCAACUUCCCUUUUUAAUACUAUCAUUUCUUACUUAAUAUUUUACAUUAACCUAUGUCUUAUCCCUCAUGCUUCCUCGAGGGUCUUUAGAAAACUAGGCAGAUUUGGUUAAUUUUUAAAACAUCUAUUUACACUUAGGGAUUGUGAAGAAGCCAGGAAAUAAGUGUUUUGGAUUUCUAAAAUACACAUAUGGGCAUCUUUUUAUUUAUUAACAGCUUUUAUAUGUUUUCAAUAUUAUUCCUUAAAGCAGCUGUUUCUUUGAGUUCUCUUUCACACCUGCCUGUCACUUAGAAUUUCCAUUUGUUAAUUUACAAAUCCAAAUUGGAAGCAACAAAAGCAAAGCACAAGGUAAUUUUCCUGAUUUUAAAUUUUACUUAUAAAUUUGAGGGUCAUUUAGAAGCUCUGUGCAUACCCAGCUAGGGUCACAGAGAAGCCACUGGCUUUUACUCUAUCCCUAAAUACUGUUUUUGAGGUGCAAAUACUAAUAUAGGACUUACCAGACUUAUAAUAGUUAGGUUUGUGUGGUUUUCCUCCAUUAAAUUGUAAGGCCCUGAAGGAAGCAUUUUUCUCUUUAUCCAUUAUUGUACUUAGUACGAUGCAGGUGAAUAAUACAUACUUAAAUGGGAAGGGCAUCAUCUAUUUUUACUUCCAGAAAGUCUUAAGAAAGCCAAUUAAAAAUUUUAAUUAUCUUGGCAUUAGAAAAAAUCGGAGAUAAAGUGACUUAGAGAGGGAAAGAGAGUGUGGAUAAUGUUUCUCUCCCAGAUGGAAAAGGACACGAUGUUCACUAUUGAUCUCAAGAGGGCACAUUUUCAGAUGACAAGUGGCUCUUCAGGAUAGUUAAAUGGCAAAAUGUCUGGGAUGACAUAGGACCAGUCGUGCUUUAAUGUGGAAAAUACAAAAGGGGAACACAUCUAAACCACAUAGACACAAGAGUGGUUUGGGAUCACUGUGUAGUUGGGAGCCAUUAUUUCCAUGGCUUGUUUUGGCAAUAGGGACCCAACAAUGAGCUCAGCCCCACUAGUAAGAAUGAGCAGCAACACAACAUGGCAGGCAUGACUCUUUUCCUACUGGGCACAUGUGUACCUUCCCUCAGUCACAUGAGGUCUGAGCUGCCUCACCUGGAGCUGAUCUCUCAGGGCCUAGGCCGGGGCCUCUGCCACAAUCAGCAGUUUGUUGGCCAACAUUAUUCGGUUUAUGUAAUUUGAGGUGCUGGGCAAGGGUCUAAGUAGAGUUGUUGCUUGGGAUUCAUGGGGGAUUGAUUCCAGGACCCCUACAGAUGCCAAAAUCCAGAGAUACUCAAGUACAUUAUAUAAAAUACUAUAGUACUUGCAUAUAACCUAUACCCAUCCUCCUGUAUAUUUUAAAUUAUCUCUAGUUUAAUUGAUGUACAUGUUAUAUAAAUAGUUGUUAUACUGUAUUUAAAAAUUUUGUUAUUGUUAUAUUGGGUUUCUCUCCCAAAUACUUUUGAUCUGUGCUUGGUUGAAUCAGCCAGUGCCAAACCCACAAUAUGGAGGGCAGACAGUAAAUUCCUACCAGGCUUGGCUUAUCAAUUCAUUCAUUCCACAUGCAUU
This 1693-nucleotide long non-coding RNA is filed under the name Homo sapiens (human). RNAcentral describes it as "HSALNT0194293". The record is from RNAcentral. Lineage: Eukaryota; Metazoa; Chordata; Mammalia; Primates; Hominidae.